GCAAUUAAAAAAAAGUAUAUAAUAUUAUAAGGAAGCUUUUAUGAUGUUUGUAUGAUAACAGAUAAAAUGUUUUUUUACCAGAUAAAAGUGACAAUUUGCAUUUUAUACUAUACCUCUAGUUUGUCUAUGGUAAGAACUCCCCUUGCCACAAAGUCUGAGGCUUUCUGCUGCUAUGGAAACAAGACUAGCGCAUUUCUGGGAGGGUAGCUUCUCGUCACUCUAGAGCUAGCACAAUAGACCGAAGAAAGAGUUCAUUUCUCUUGCUGACGGGAGCCAAAACUUACCCUAAACAGUGACCCCACACCCCUACUUGAAAUAGUUUUACCUCGCUACCAAAGUCACCGCCGCAGGUCCAGACGAAUGGCAUGGGACUUCAGACAAACUCUAUUUGUUUGAUAACCAUUGGUUAAAAGUUACAUUGUAAAUUCGUUCUGUAGCUCCACAGCAUGUUAUUGUAUACUUCUCUAAUUACAAUGUUUCCUUAAUUAAAAUUUGAUAUUCUGAAAUUGAUGUGAUUCCUAAUACGUCAUCUGAAAAAGAUAGAUCAGAUUUGGAACAGCUUCGAAAGGCGGUAGAUUCAUCUGCACGUCCUCAAAAUUUAGAGAUAAGUCAUAAAUGGUGUAAAGCAGACUCAGAUACUGAAAUCUCAGAGUUAUCAAAAAGUCUAACUGAUUCAGAUCCAGUGGUUUCAUCAUUGAAAGAAAAGAUCAAAUCUCUUGAAGAUCAAGAUAAGAAUGUUCGGUGUCUCAUUUGUUUGGAAUCUUAUACAAAACCUGUUGUAUCCACCACCUGUUGGCAUGUGCAUUGUGAAUAAUGUUGGCUCAUGACAAUGGUAACUAUAUUUCCUUCCUCAGAAGGCACUUACUUAAGCCUUCUGAUAAAAGAUAUAUUAAUAAUCAUUUUUUUUAAUUACUGAACAAAACUUUCAUAAAUGCAGAUUUA
Molecule: non-coding RNA, 942 nt
Organism: Parasteatoda tepidariorum (common house spider)
Lineage: Eukaryota; Metazoa; Arthropoda; Arachnida; Araneae; Theridiidae
Source: RefSeq, a predicted model, not a curated record